This 288-nucleotide ribosomal RNA is filed under the name Photobacterium pectinilyticum. RNAcentral describes it as "partial 16S ribosomal RNA". It matches the Rfam family "Bacterial small subunit ribosomal RNA", at positions 996 to 1283 of the family's 1533-position model. Lineage: Bacteria; Pseudomonadati; Pseudomonadota; Gammaproteobacteria; Vibrionales; Vibrionaceae. The record is from RNAcentral.
GCCAGCGGAGACGCAGGUGUGCCUUCGGGAGCUCUGAGACAGGUGCUGCAUGGCUGUCGUCAGCUCGUGUUGUGAAAUGUUGGGUUAAGUCCCGCAACGAGCGCAACCCUUAUCCUUGUUUGCCAGCGAGUAAUGUCGGGAACUCCAGGGAGACUGCCGGUGAUAAACCGGAGGAAGGUGGGGACGACGUCAAGUCAUCAUGGCCCUUACGAGUAGGGCUACACACGUGCUACAAUGGCGCAUACAGAGGGCAGCAAGCCAGCGAUGGUGAGCGAAUCCCAAAAAGUG